RNAcentral lists this ribosomal RNA (426 nucleotides) under uncultured Lysobacteraceae bacterium. RNAcentral's name for it is "bacterial SSU rRNA". It matches the Rfam family "Bacterial small subunit ribosomal RNA", at positions 356 to 774 of the family's 1533-position model. The record is from RNAcentral. Lineage: Bacteria; Pseudomonadati; Pseudomonadota; Gammaproteobacteria; Lysobacterales; Lysobacteraceae.
GGGGAAUAUUGGACAAUGGGCGCAAGCCUGAUCCAGCCAUGCCGCGUGGGUGAAGAAGGCCUUCGGGUUGUAAAGCCCUUUUGUUGGGAAAGAAAAGCAGCCGGCCAAUACCCGGUUGUUCUGACGGUACCCAAAGAAUAAGCACCGGCUAACUUCGUGCCAGCAGCCGCGGUAAUACGAAGGGUGCAAGCGUUACUCGGAAUUACUGGGCGUAAAGCGUGCGUAGGUGGUGGUUUAAGUCCGUUGUGAAAGCCCUGGGCUCAACCUGGGAAAGGCAGUGGAUAACGGAUCACUAGAGGGUGGCAGGGGGGAGUGGAAUUCCCGGGGUAGCAGUUAAAAGGGUAAGGAACGGGAAGAACAUCAGUGGCGAAAGCGACUGCCUGGGCCAACACUGACACUGAGGCACGAAAGCGUGGGGAGCAAACA